CCCACCCCAGAAUCAUUGUAGGUGUGACUGUUGUGUCACAUAGGCAUCAGUAGGUGGCAGAGGGGAGAGAGGUUGUCUACUCUCAGUGUAGAAUCUAUGAAAAUCUGAAUGAUUAGUAGCUUAACAUU
This is a small nucleolar RNA of Acomys russatus (golden spiny mouse), 128 nucleotides long. RefSeq annotates it as small nucleolar RNA SNORA17. The transcript has a single exon. The record is from RefSeq and is a predicted model, not a curated record. Lineage: Eukaryota; Metazoa; Chordata; Mammalia; Rodentia; Muridae.